UUUAUAAAGAGUUUGAUCCUGGCUCAGGACGAACGCUGGCGGCGCGCCUAACACAUGCAAGUCGAACGAGCGAGAGAGAGCUUGCUCUCUCAAGCGAGUGGCGAACGGGUGAGUAACNNNNNNNNNNCGAGUGGCGAACGGGUGAGUAACGCGUGAGGAACCUGCCUCAAAGAGGGGGACAACAGUUGGAAACGACUGCUAAUACCGCAUAAGCCCACGGGUCGGCAUCGACCAGAGGGAAAAGGAGCAAUCCGCUUUGAGAUGGCCUCGCGUCCGAUUAGCUAGUUGGUGAGGUAAUGGCCCACCAAGGCGACGAUCGGUAGCCGGACUGAGAGGUUGAACGGCCACAUUGGGACUGAGACACGGCCCAGACUCCUACGGGAGGCAGCAGUGGGGAAUAUUGCACAAUGGGGGAAACCCUGAUGCAGCGACGCCGCGUGGAGGAAGAAGGUCUUCGGAUUGUAAACUCCUGUUGUUGAGGAAGAUAAUGACGGUACUCAACAAGGAAGUGACGGCUAACUACGUGCCAGCAGCCGCGGUAAAACGUAGGUCACAAGCGUUGUCCGGAAUUACUGGGUGUAAAGGGAGCGCAGGCGGGAAGACAAGUUGGAAGUGAAAUCUAUGGGCUCAACCCAUAAACUGCUUUCAAAACUGUUUUUCUUGAGUAGUGCAGAGGUAGGCGGAAUUCCCGGUGUAGCGGUGGAAUGCGUAGAUAUCGGGAGGAACACCAGUGGCGAAGGCGGCCUACUGGGCACCAACUGACGCUGAGGCUCGAAAGUGUGGGUAGCAAACAGGAUUAGAUACCCUGGUAGUCCACACCGUAAACGAUGAUUACUAGGUGUUGGAGGAUUGACCCCUUCAGUGCCGCAGUUAACACAAUAAGUAAUCCACCUGGGGAGUACGACCGCAAGGUUGAAACUCAAAGGAAUUGACGGGGGCCCGCACAAGCAGUGGAGUAUGUGGUUUAAUUCGACGCAACGCGAAGAACCUUACCAAGUCUUGACAUCC
This 1008-nucleotide ribosomal RNA is filed under the name Faecalibacterium prausnitzii. RNAcentral describes it as "bacterial SSU rRNA". It matches the Rfam family "Bacterial small subunit ribosomal RNA", at positions 1 to 989 of the family's 1533-position model. The record is from RNAcentral. Lineage: Bacteria; Bacillati; Bacillota; Clostridia; Eubacteriales; Oscillospiraceae.